AAAAAGAGCAAAAAAAACAAGAACAAAAAAAGAAAAAAAACAAAGAAACAAAAGCGAAAGGA
This 62-nucleotide transfer RNA is filed under the name Diaphanoeca grandis. Lineage: Eukaryota; Choanoflagellata; Acanthoecida; Stephanoecidae. The record is from RNAcentral.